This 253-nucleotide ribosomal RNA is filed under the name uncultured bacterium. RNAcentral describes it as "partial 16S ribosomal RNA". It matches the Rfam family "Bacterial small subunit ribosomal RNA", at positions 524 to 776 of the family's 1533-position model. The record is from RNAcentral.
UACGUAGGGGGCAAGCGUUGUCCGGAUUUAUUGGGCGUAAAGAGCGUGUAGGCGGCCAGGUAGGUCUGGUGUGAAAACUCGAGGCUCAACCUCGAGAGGUCAUCGGAAACCAUUUGGCUAGAGUCCGGAAGAGGAGAGUGGAAUUCCCGGUGUAGCGGUGAAAUGCGCAGAUAUCGGGAAGAACACCUAUGGCGAAGGCAGCUCUCUGGGACGGUACUGACGCUGAGACGCGAAAGCGUGGGGAGCGAACAGG